ACGAGACGAAGGCGACGAAGAGCGCGAGCGGCGUCAUGAUGAGCGCCGCCGUGAGCACGAUGGAGCUGGCGUCCGGGCCGAAGAUGAGCCGGCCGCCGCAGAGGAAUCUCUGCACGCGACACGGCCGGCAAAUGACUAACUUGGUAGACGCGGUGGGUGGCGACGGCGGCCGACGACGACGAGGCGCUGGAGGUGUCGGAGAGGUAGCUGCGGGGGAGAGGGCUCUUGAACAGCGACCUCCCCUUCAUGGUCUCCGCCGCCGGCCGGUCCGGUGAUCGCCGCGCGCCGCGUGCGUCGUCGUCACCUCACCCGCAUGGGCCGGCCCUGCCCCAGGAGCGGCCGGAACGACGGAGGCGGUGGGAGAGGAGGCAGGAGGGGGAGCUGCUCUCCUCGUUUUCCCGUUUCAGACAUCGCCGGGCUAUCCAUAGGAGGGAGGUGCUAUAGCGCGUCGUGCUUGUUAUCGGGGUGUGCAAAGAAUGGAUCGGAGGAGGGGAAUCGCCUUGGCUAAACAUAGCACGCCGCAUCUCUCUCUCUCUCUCACACACACACACACACACAGCUCCGGCGGAACACACAGUAUAGUACACAGAUAUCUCGAUCGAUCGAUCAUAUCUGCCUGGAUCGGAGAAGAAUAAUCGAUCUCAUGAAAAAGUAGUACUGUAUGAGGAAGAAAGGGUGAUGCAUGUUUGAGAGUCACCCUUUGAACCAUGGAUUGUUUGAGAGUCAAAUUAGAGGAAAUUUCAUUCGGAUUUUCCAAA
Long non-coding RNA from Panicum virgatum (switchgrass), 758 nucleotides. RefSeq lists it as uncharacterized. The record is from RefSeq and is a predicted model, not a curated record. The transcript has 2 exons. NCBI's taxonomy places the organism in Eukaryota, Viridiplantae, Streptophyta, Magnoliopsida, Poales, Poaceae.